UGACUGACUGAGUGCCAGCAGCCGCGGUAAUACGGAGGGGGCAAGCGUUAUUCGGAAUUAUUGGGCGUAAAGGGCGCGUAGGCGGCUUGGUAGGUCAAAGGUGAAAUCCCUCAGCUCAACUGAGGAACUGCCUUUGAAACCACCUAGCUAGAGGCUGGGAGGGGAUAGCGGAAUUCCCGGUGUAGCGGGGAAAUGCGUAGAUAUCGGGAGGAACACCAGUGGCGAAGGCGGCUAUCUGGACCAGUUCUGACGCUCAGGCGCGAAACCGUGGGGAGCAAACAGGAUUAGAUACCCUGGUAGUCCACGCUGUAAACGAUGGGCACUCGGUGUUGCGGGUAUUGACCCCUGCAAUGCCUUAGCUAACGCGUUAAGUGCCCCGCCUGGAGAGUACGGUCCAAGGCUGAAACUCAAAGGAAUUGACCGGGCCCGCACAAGCGGUGACCAUGU
This 447-nucleotide ribosomal RNA is filed under the name uncultured bacterium. RNAcentral describes it as "bacterial SSU rRNA". It matches the Rfam family "Bacterial small subunit ribosomal RNA", at positions 494 to 942 of the family's 1533-position model. The record is from RNAcentral.